Rattus norvegicus (Norway rat) is the source of this 1292-nucleotide non-coding RNA. Lineage: Eukaryota; Metazoa; Chordata; Mammalia; Rodentia; Muridae. The record is from RefSeq and is a predicted model, not a curated record.
UAUAUUUCUCUUCAAUUUCCUGACCCUCUGAAUUUUACUAAUGUUUUUAUGAUCCAAAGAAAAUAAUAUACCCAGGAUGAGAAAAUCGUGGCAAGUCUAUGGUUGUUCAUUUGUGGCUUUGUUUCUAAAGUGCAGCUGUACCCACCGUAACGAACAGAUGGAAGGAAAGAGUGAGUGGAGUGAAGGCAAACAAUAUGGUUCUCAAACAUAACUGCACAUCUCAAAGUCAUGUAACACUUGGUGUUCUGUCAAUUCUGACAUCAUAGAUGGAACUUGAAAAUACAUCACUGUGGAUUGUUGUCUAUACGCAGGAACAAUGUUGAGAAUAUGCUGUUUAUGAAGACAUGGAUGUUCAAUAUGAACUGAUAAAGACAACCACACAAGAUUCAUUUGGGGCUGGAGAGAUGGUUCAGGAGUUAAGAGAACUGGUAGCUCUUUUAGAACCCACCACCAAAAUUGUAGCUGAAAACUGUUUGUAACCACAGGCACAGGGGAUAUAAAACACAUGUGAAGUACACACACAAAUGUGGUCCCCAGUCUCUGCUGACUGCCCUGCAGGUCAGGGAAAGGAAAGAAAAGAAAAAAGAACAUAACCACUAAAACUACAUCUAUGUCAUGACCCACCAUUUGGGAACUUCUGCGCAGCUAUUCAACAUAGUCCAGAGAUUUGCUGCACUCAUCACAAUUAAGUAGAACCAGAAUAGAUGUCUUUCAAGACAAAAGGAUAAAAAUGUGAUAAUACCUAAGGAAAACUUGUACCUGUCAAUAUAUUGUGAAUUCUUACAUUGACAGCACUACUGGAUGUGUUCCCCAAGACAUCUGAAAUUGCACAUGAUCACACUGCCCCUAAACCCAACAAGUUAAACAGAUCUCAGCGUCUUCAUGGCUCUGCUUCACACCAAGUUCUUUCACAAGAACUCAAGAUCGGUACUCCAGCCUUCAUGUUUGUAUGGAAAACACUUUACCUUAGCCAUGCAUCUCCUUAAAAUGAUGAUCAAUCUUUGAAGAUGUAAGUGUUUUUAUCUUGACUCAAAAUUUGUGUAUUAUAUUUUACUGAUAUGGACCAGGAGGGGGAUAAGGACUGGACUGUAAUGAAAAGAUUAAAGGUGAAUAUAUUUUUCAAAAUUAUAAAACACAAUUCCUUCUGCAACUCAAACAGAAUUUAGUUAAACAUACAAAUCAUGACAAAGAUAUUAACAUGUAUUUGGGUACUGGUAAAGAAAUAAGUUUUAAGGAAACAAGGUGAUGAACAUGAUCCAGAAUAUGAGGUAUAAAUGAACAAUGUGUAUUAU